Ceratotherium simum simum (southern white rhinoceros) is the source of this 731-nucleotide non-coding RNA. The record is from RefSeq and is a predicted model, not a curated record. Lineage: Eukaryota; Metazoa; Chordata; Mammalia; Perissodactyla; Rhinocerotidae.
ACCUUUGCCGGAGCUACCGAGGCUGGAGGAUCCGAGACCCAGGGUACCCCGGAACUUGUCCCGCGCCAGCUCAGAGCCCGUCCAGGUACCUGCGUGCAACCCGCGCAACCCUGGGCUCGCUUGGAAUUCCUAGGCCGACCUCCGGCGCCUGGGGCUGGAAACCGCGCAGAGCGCCCCAGACUCGGUUUCCACACUGAGCGAAGGUCUCUAUCCGUGGAGACGUCCACUCUCCCCAAGUCCAAUGCCAGGGGUCGUAAUAGGGGGUGUGAAGGCGCUCACAUUCUGGCAGCUCAAAAUUAGUUCCACAAACCGCAUCUACACCAGCGCCUGGACUUAGAGGAGGAUAGCAAUGCCUCCAUCCCCCACCUGGCCUCCUGUGGGAAAAACAGAUCUGUCCUGUGUGUUCAAAAAGACACCCCCCUCUGUCCCUGAAUAUCCUGGUGUUGUCUUUGAAAGUUGCUGCUGUAAAACUACCAUCAGACUGAAAAGCAAUUGUAUAUGUGAAGAGAUGUCAAGAAGAAAAUUCAACUAAAAGACUAAAUCAGUAAAGAGAUCAUUUCUUGUAGCUUAAAAUUAAUUUAUUUCACAAAUAUAGCUAUAAUAUAAAUGAUAAUAAAAUUUCAAAUAUACAGUAUAUUACACACAAUCCCUUCCAAAGGGAUUCUUGAGAGCCACACAAAUGUACUGUUAAAUAGAAACAGAAUUUUAAAAUUUUUACAAUUUUUUUCUGG